RNAcentral lists this ribosomal RNA (371 nucleotides) under uncultured bacterium. Its description in RNAcentral is "bacterial SSU rRNA". It matches the Rfam family "Bacterial small subunit ribosomal RNA", at positions 527 to 898 of the family's 1533-position model. The record is from RNAcentral.
GUAGGGGGCGAGCGUUGUCCGGAUUUACUGGGCGUAAAGCGCGUGCAGGCGGUCCGUUAAGUCUCGUGUGAAAUCCUCCGGCCCAACCGGAGAACGCCGCGGGAUACUGGCGGGCUUGAGGGCGGUAGAGGGGGAUGGAAUUCCCGGUGGAGCGGUGAAAUGCGUAGAUAUCGGGAGGAACGCCAGUGGCGAAGGCGGUCACCUGGGCCGUCCCUGACGCUGAGACGCGAAAGCUGGGGGAGCGAACGGGAUUAGAUACCCCGGUAGUCCCAGCCGUAAACGAUGCUCACUAGGUGUUGGGGGGUUACUCCCUCAGUGCCGCAGCCAACGCAUUAAGUGAGCCGCCUGGGUAGUACGGCCGCAAGGUUGAA